This 13460-nucleotide long non-coding RNA is filed under the name Homo sapiens (human). Its description in RNAcentral is "non-protein coding LINC01597:5". The record is from RNAcentral. Lineage: Eukaryota; Metazoa; Chordata; Mammalia; Primates; Hominidae.
ACUGUCUUCUCUAUGGUUAAAUUAAAGUUCAGCGUCUCCACUUGCCUCUCCUCUCAUUUCUUUCGGAAAGCGGAAACCAGACGACCCAGCGGCCAUGGGACGAGCCGCCCCAACUCAACCCCAGCAGGACGCUGGAGGGGCCUCCCUCCCCCGCCUCUCUUCGCCGGCGCUGGCCUCCCGCACCCGGGUCUGCAGUCCCUCCGCCAUCUCGCAGGUGUGCGGCCGCUAGGCCUGGGGGAUCCGAAUGACUGGGGCUGGAUAGGAAUGCCUUCGUGUUUCCCAAGACCCCUGGGCCUGCUCCACAAAGUUUGAAGGGUGGGUACACACCAACCCAGGCAAGUUGCUCCCCCAAACCCAUGACUGACUAAUCUGAUAUGACAAAAGCCCAUGAUGGAUUUGGUAUAUGUUAAUUCACAAUGCCCUUUCCUCCAGAAUUUAACUAUAAGUUAAUACACACCGGAAACCACGCGCAUACACGCUCCUUAAUGGGCUUAGGUAUUAGCGAGUCCUAACGAUGCAUACAAAUGUGCUCUGCGCUCUGUAGAACCCUCAAGAUUUAUGUGCCUUGAGCUCUCUGAAGCUGUAAACAAGGAGAAAAAAAAAAAGAGAAAGCGAAAGCGACUGGGGGGAAGAGACAGAGGCCUGACUCGCCCCUCCAGGUUGUGGAGAGAAGGGAUUCUUUAUGUAUUUUCCUUUCCUUGCAAGCUCGGUGCGUGUGGGUUUUGGCGUUGGUCUGGGGGUGGUGUUCUGCCUGAAUGCUGGUGUGCGUGGGCAGUGUGUUGUUUGAGUGCUGCGGUAGGAUGCCUGCCUCUUCGGAUUGCUGUGCAGGGGCCUGAACACAGCAGGCAUUUGUGAGCAUAUAUGCAUGAGUGUGCACUGUGUUAGGGUGUGUGUGUGUGUAUGUGCGUGUGAGAAAGAGAGAGAGACAGAGAGGGAGAGGCAGGCUUCCCCCUGGGCCAGGCUGCUGUCCCCUGAACAGUGGUGAACAAAUCUCUAACAACAAUCAUAAUAACAAUAAAUAAUGAAUAAUAAUAAUAAAACAGUAGUUAACAGUCCCUCCAUAACAGAAUAACAAUAAAAUGCAAGAGGAAAUAUUUUGAGGUGGAGACAGAAGGAGUCAGGAUCACAGCAUCUGAGGGGGAGAUAGGAAAGGAAGGGAGGAAGAAAUCUUAAUAUGCUCUUGGUGGGGCUGGGGUUGGGAACCCCUUUCCCAGACAAGGGACGGAAGAGGGGAAGGAGAGCCAGAGACCACUCUUUAUUGCUUUUUUUCUCAGGCUUCUGCUUUGUGUGAUCAGAGAAGGGAUCCCACAUAUGGGAAUGGUUAGUGGCUUUUGGGACUCUCCAGGAGCCUCUGUUUUAAGAAUGAGGCCAAAUGUGCAGGCUCAGGCCAAGCGGCAGAGAUGAAUGAGGUGAUGACCACAGCCUUGAUCCGGCAGGAGCUCAGAGAUGCCCGGGAAGACGGGGGGCCCGAACGGAAGCAGAAAAACACUUAUGGCCGCUGGGAAGUUGGGAGAGCGAGGCUGGGGCUCUGGCAGGCCCAGGGAAAGUUCCCUGUCUAGGCUCUUUAUUAAAAAAUUUAAAAGGAGGAGUUGAGGCACCUUGAAUAUUCCUUCGCGAGUUUGGAGACUAGCCGAUUUUUCAUGAAGCAAGCAAAGACCGCGGUCCCGGAUCCUGCAACUUCUACCUCAUUUUCUCCAGGCCUCUCCACUUGCCCGAGCUCUCAGCCACCAGGAGACAGACGGAAGGGGCUUCUGGAUUGCGUUGGGAGCGGGCACUGUCCCCUACCCACUCCUGCUCAGUUUCCCAAAGUCCAGCGACUUCCGACCCUCCUUGGGGGGAAAAAUACCAGUACCCAGACACCUUUGCACCCUGUUAUAUGACUGGGCUUGCUUCAGGAAUAUCUUACAAAGAAGAAGAAGAAGAAAGAACGGCUUGGAGUCAUGUUUACAUCUAGUUCUACUGAUCCGUUCACAUCUGGAGAGUUUAUUUAUAACUCCCUCUAUAACUCUCUGUUUGGAGACACUGUGGCUCUAUUGACAGACUGAUAUCUAGGAAAUAUUGCUCUAUGUCUAACCGUACCUAAAUGUGCUGUGGUUGUAUUUACAGAUUUAUGUUUGAGGGAAAUAUAACUAUUUCCAUUGUAUUUGUGCAUAUACAGUAGUUAUAGGAGCAGAUUUAUAUAUGGGAAAAUAUACGACUCUCUUACAGCCAUCCAGCUUUAUGUACAUUUGAUAUCCUGACAGAUUUAUAUCUCUGAACAGCUAUAUAGAUAAAAACGUAUAUUGUUAGAAUUAUGUAUCAGAAGAUAUAUACUUAUUGAUUGUGAAAUAGAGUAGUUAGAGCAUUCAUUUAGAGCCAUAUAUGGCUAUGGAGAUAUUGCUAUAUUAUUAUCACUAUAUAUAGGCAUAUCUAUUUAUAACUACAUAGUUAUAAAAAUACAUAUAAGUAAUUACAGUCCUAUAUGUGCAUGCUGCAAUCUCUCUCUAGAGUUAUAGACACUUUCAAAUAUAACUCUAUAGAGAGAUCUGUAUGCAUAUAAGGUGUAAUUAUCUUGUGAUGUGUUUACAUUGGGACUUAGGCCCGUCUGUCUAGAACACACAUAUUUAUAUGUAGGGGCUGGGAGAGACUUGUUCAUAGAUAUCUGCAGAGGGCCAACUGGAAACACUGUAUCUGCCCUCUAGGAAACCAGCUAGGAGAGUUGUGUACUUACGGAGGGAUGGAGUUACAAAAGGUAAAUAGAGCUUAGUGAGCCUUAAGGAGGGGAGGUGAAUGGAGGGUGGGUAGGUGGUGGGCUCCCCCAGGCGGAGACGGGGGAAGCAGCAGGGGCUCCCAGCCUCAGGCCUGCCCGGACGGUGUUGGUUGGAGUGAGUCUCCCCAAAUGUCGUGCCGCCGUCCGUGAUCUCGAGGACCGGUUGGCCUGCGUGCCCCUGGGCUGCUCUUUCACCCGAGGGUCGUUCUGGUUGACAGCAGAACCCCGCAGCCUCAGGGGUUGCCUGGUGGUGUGUGUUUCAAUGCCUCUGCUGUAUGACCCUUUGUUUGUGUGUGUGUGUGUCUCCCAUUCUCCCUUCUCUCUCUGUCUCUCAGUCUCUGUGUGUUUCUUUCCCACUCUCUGUGGGUUUGUGUGUGUGUGCCCGUGUGCUUGUGUGUCUUUGGCUGAAUAUGCCCUGUGAACCACAGAGCUGUCUCUUGCAUGGCGGCCUGUCUUUGUUGAACCUCUUUCUGUGUCUCUGCCUGGGUCAUGAGGCCGGUUGUCAAUCGUUUUCGCCCCCGCGGAUCUGCUUUGGCUGCGUGAAAGCCUGGCCCACGUGAGAAGAUGCGUCGGUCUUGGAGCAAUUGCUGUCUCGUCCCCAUCCUGAGCGUCCUCUUUUCUAGCAUCAAGAGGAACACACUGCAGAUGAGGACAAGAGCCCCACAGGAGCUCUUUGUCCCACAGGAGAUCAGCGGACCCACGUCAGAGAAGAUGUUUGAGUCUUUUCGCGGCUCUUCUCUGAGAAAUGAAGCCACACCACGAUACAGUCAGCAAGAGGAAGCCAGGAAUGAGAGAUGGCAACAAUCCCUGUCCCUGGAACGCUGGCCUCCCUGCACAAGCCACCCUUUAGGAACCCCACCCCUUAUGCCUGUGACGGUGGCAAGGUGCUGUAUCCUGCCUGGGCUCCGGCCUCUGCUCUGUCCUCCCUCUUGCUCUGCCUCCCCUGUUUCUCAGGGACCUGGAUGCCUCUCGCUCUGGCCAAAUGCCUUCAACUAAGAUGACUUCCCACUCCGUCAGGGAGACACUUCCUGGAGACCCGUGUCGUGAUUGUUUGUCUCUCCAAAUGUGUUUCUGCUUGAUUGGGCAGGUCUCAUGGCCCGGGAACACUUGGCUUCCAUAGGUGUCUCAGGCAGGUGUCUUCUCCACGUUUCCCCUCAUGGGUGGGUGGAUUACCUAGAAUGAGCGCUAGGCGACCGUGACUGGCCUUGUCUUCCACGACAGGUGGUGUCGCAUUUCCUCUGCACUUCCUGUCUCAUUCUUGAGGGACAUCCUCUCCUCUGCUCCUGGGUGGACUGAACCCCUUGAUCUUCUGGCCGAAACGAAUGUAAGGGAAACAAAGGGACUGGUCUAGGGCUGGGGGCUGGGGCUGGGGCUCUGUGCAGCCGAAGUUGCGUCAGGGCUGCCAGGGCCUUGGAGGGUUGGGGUUGGGGCGAAUUUUGCAGAAACCUCUUUGCUCCUCCGGUAGGCAUUCGAAAACGUGGCUUGGGUCAGUCACAGGCCCCCCCCACACCCCUCGGGUCCCAGGUGUUUUCGAUUUUCCUUGGCAUUGAUGGAAAUGUCACCUGUUUUCCCCUUCCACCGGCACACGCCUGGACAACACCCUUUGUUUCGCCGUCGCCCCGUAUGCCUCCGGUGACACACGUUAACACCAACUGCUGUGGGAUAGGCCAGGGCCACGCGUAGUCACAUGGUCUCUGCCUCGGGUUUGCUCCUGUUCCUCUUUGCAGGUGUCCUGUAAAGCCCUGUCGGCUUACCGGAGCCCCAGGGCUUUUAGAAGUGGGGCAGGCCACUGCUCUUUCAAAGGAGGAGGGCAUUGAAAAACACACCUCCAGGCAAUCCCUGAGGCUAUGGGGUUCUGCUCUCGAUGAGAACGACCCUCGGGCGAGAGAGCAGCCCAGGGGCAUGCAGGCCGAACUGUCCUAGAGAUCACGGACCGAGGCACGAAUUCUGGGGAGACUCACCCCAACCAACACCAUCCGGGCAGGCCUGAGGCUGGGUUCCUGUGCUGCUUCCCCCGUCUCCGCUGGGCUUUCCUCAUGGUGGUCGGCCCUUUGCGACUCCUGGCAUCUGGAGACAUUCCCGUCGACCCCGUGAAGUUGUUAGGCCGGAGCCUCAGAUCCCCGAAACCCAAGCACGCCAGGGAGGGCUCCUGCUUCGCCAAGCCUCGGAGACUGGUUUCUAAGACAACCGUGGGAACCACUGUGACGGGAGAAGCCGCUCGCGCCUCGCGCAUGCGCAUUGGGUGAGACGAUUUGCGCUCCACUCCUGAGAGAUAGGCUGCGUCCCCUUUAAAUAUCGCCACUGCCGCGCGGCGGCCGCGAUGCUCCUGCUGCCGCCGCGGCGGCGGCUGGAUCCUGGGUCCUGUUUGGGGUGGCGUGGGAGAGGGGGCCGCGGGUGUCUCGUCCUGUCCCAGGCCCAAACCCCCAGGAGUCCUGUCCUCAGGACCUCCUUGAGCCGACUUCCACUGAGGGAGGGGGAGCUUCAGGACGCCUGCUGUGUUCUCCGGACUCCCGUUGAGAUCCGAUUUUGGCCCCCUCCCAGUGAGAUAGGAUGGGCUCACCACAUCUGGUGAGGCAGACAGGGCCUCGCUGUAGCACAGAAUGAUCCCGUAGGUCUCAAGGCCUGGUGUCAGCUGCAAAUUCACUGAUCCAUCAGCCCUCUGCCUCCCUCCUCCUUUGAAAGAGCAGUGGCCUGCCCCGCUUCUAAAAGCCCUGGGGCUCCGGAAAGCCGACCGCGCUUUAUGGGACUGGUAGAAAGAGGAUCAGGGGUGAAUCCGAGAUGGAGACCAUGUGACCACGCGUGGCACUGGUGUAUCCCACAGCAGAUGGUGUGAAUGUGUGUCACCGGAGGCAUACAUUGUGAUGGCGAAACCAACAAUGGUGUCCAGGAAUGUGCCCGGUCGAAGGGGGGAAUGAGUGACCUUUCCAUCAAUGCCAAGGAAAAUCAAAGAACACCUGGGAACGAGGAGGGUGCCUGUGCCUUAGUCCAAGCCACAUUUUGAAAUGCCUGCCAGAGGAUUAAAGAGGUUUUGGCAAAAUUCACCCCACCCCCAACCCUCCAUGGCCCAGGUAGCCCUGACCCAACCUCCCCUGCAACCAGCCGCAGACCCAGCCCCAGCCCCAGCCCAGUCCCUUUGGUUCCUUUCCCCGACAUUCGUUAUGGUCAAAAGAUCCAGAGACUCAGUCCACCCAGGAGCAGAGGAGAGGAUGUCUCUCACGAAUGAGACAUGAAGUGCAGAGGAAAUGCGACACCACCUGUCCUAGAAGACAAGGUCUGUCACGGUCGACUAGCGCUCAUUCCAGGCAAUCCACCCACCCAUGAGGUGAAACACGGAGAGGAAGGAAGCUUCCCUGUCUGAGAGAAGUAUGGAAGCCAAGAGCUCCAGGGUCGUCUAUCCUGCCCCAUCAAGCAGAAACAGGUUGAAAGAGAUAAACGAUCACGACAGGGAUCUCCAGUAAGUGUCUACCUGACGGACUGGGUUGUGAUCAUUGUUGAAGACAUUCAGCGAGAGCGAGAGGCAUCUAGGCCCCUCAGAAACAGGGGAGACAGAGCAAGAGGCAGGACAAAGCAGAGGCCAAAGCCCAGGCAGGAUACAGCACUGUGCCACUGCCACGGCCAUGAGGGGAGGGGUACCAAAAAGGUGGCUUUUCCAGAAAGGCCAGCGUUCCAGUGACUAUCUGUGAAAAUGCUUUGUGAUGCGUGGGUUAUCCCUCAGAGUUAAACAUUUGUUUUGACUUAGCAGUUUGGAAACACUCUUUUUUAAGAAUCAAUGAAGGGAUAUUUUGAAGCCCAUGGAUGAGUAUAUUGAGAAACUAAAUAUCCCACCAUAGAAACUAGCAAGAAAUUAUUAGUGAAAAUGCUCUGUGAUGUGUGGAUUCAUCUCACAGAGUUAGACUUUUGUUUUUAUUCUGCAGGUUUCAAACACUUUUUUGUGGAAUCUACAAAGGAACAUUUCAGAGCCCACAGAGGCCUAUAGUGAAAACUGAAUAUCUUGUGAUAAAAGCUAGAAACAAGCUAUCUGUGAAAAUGUUUGUGAUGUGUGGAUUUAUCUCAUAGAGUUAUACCUAUGUUUAUAUACAGCAGGUUGGAAACACUCUUUUAGUAGAAUUUAAAAUAAGAAAUUUCUGAGUCCUUGAGGCCUAUUAUAAAGAAAUGAAUAUCCCUGAUAAAAACUGACAACAAAUUAUCUGUGAAAAUGCUUUGAGAUAUGUGGAUUCAUCUCGCAAAGUUAAACCCUUGUUUUGGUUCAGAAGGUUGAAAAUACUCUUUUUGUAAUAUCUAUGAAGGGAUAUUUUGGAGCCCAUAGAGGCCUAUACUAAAAACCAAAUAUCCCAGGAUAAAAACUAGAAACAAGGUAUGUGAGAAAAUGUUUUGCAAUGUGUAGAAUCAUCUCACAGAGUUAAACCUUGUUUUGAUUGGGCAGGUUGGAAACAUUCUUUUUGUAGAAUAAAAGAAGGGACAUUUUGGAGCUCAUUGAGGCCUAUAGUGAAAAACCACAUAUGCCAUGAUAAAAACUAGAACAAGCUAUCUGUAAAAAUCUUUUGCAAUGUGUGGUUUCAUCUCACAGAGUUUAACCUUUAUUUUGACUUAGCGCUUUGGAAACACUAUUUUUCUAGAAUCUGCAAGGGUACAUUUCAAACCCAAUGAGGCCUGUAGUAAAAAACUGAAUAUCCCACGAUGAAAACUAGAAACUAGCUAUCUGUGAAAAUGCUUUGAGAUGUGUGGAUUCAUCUAAUGGAGUUGAAUGUUAGUUUUGAUUCAGCAGGUUGGAAACUUAGCAGUUUGGAAACAUUCAUUUUGUAGAAUCAAAGAGGGGACUUUUCUUAGCCCCCUGAGGCCUAUAGUGAAAAAUCAAAUAUCCCGUGAUAAAAACUAGAAACAAGUUAUCUGUAAAAAUGCUUUGCAAUUUGUGGAUUUGUCUCACAAUGUUAAACCUUUGUUUUGAUUUAGUAGGUUGGAAACUCUCUUUUUGUACAAUUGAUGAGGAGAUAUUUCAAAGCCCAUUGAUUGAGGCUUGUAGUGAAAAACCUAAAAUCCUAAUAAACACUAUAAAGAAGCUGUCUCUGAAAAUGCUUUGAGAUGUGUGAUUUCAACUUAUAGAGUUAAAUCUUUCUUUUUAUUCAGCAGGUUGGAAACAUUCUUAUUGUAGAAUAUACGACAGGACAUUUCAGAGCAAAUUGAGGCCUGUAGUGAAAAACAGAAUAUAUUGUGAUAAAAGCUAGAAACAAGGUAUCUGUAAAAAUGCUUUGUGAUGUGUAGUUUUAUCAUACAAAGUUAAACCCUUGUAUUGCAUCAGCAGGUUGGAAACUCUCUGCUUGUAGAAUAUAUGAGAGGUCAAUUUGGAGCCCAUAUUGGCAGGUAGUGAAAAACCAAUAUCCCAUGAUAAAAACUAGAAAAAAGCUAUCUGUGAAAAAGCUUUCUGAUGUCUGGAUUCAUCACACAGAGUUAAAUCUUUGUUUUGAUUCAGGAGGUUGAAAACACUGUUCCUGGAAAAUCUAUGGAAGGCGGGUUGGAAAUACUUUUUUUUAGUAGAACCUAUGAAGAGACACUUUGGAGCCCAUUGAGGACUGUAGCAAAAAUACAAAUGUCCCAUGAUGAAAACUAGAAAAAGUUUUAUGUGAAAAUGCUUUGCAAUGAGUGGAUUCAUAUCACAAGGUUAAAGCUUUGUUUUGAUUUAGCAGAUUGGAAGCACUAUUUAUGGAGAAUCUACAAAGGGACAUUUUAUAGCCCAUUGAGGUCUCUUUUAAAAAAUCGAAUGUCCCACAAUGAAAACUAGUUAUAAGCUAUCUGUGAAAAUGCUUUGUGAUGUACAGAUGCUUCUCCCAGAGUUAAACCUUUGUUUUUAUUCUGCAGGUUGCAGACAGUCUAAUUCUGGAAUGUGUUAAAAGACAUUUCAAGGCCCAUUGAGAACUACAAUAAAAAACAAAUAUUCCUUGAUAAAAACUAGAAAAAUCUAUCAGUGAAAAUCCUUUGUGUUGUGUGGAUUCAACUGAGAGUUAAAAUUGUUUUGAUUCAGCAGGUUGGAAAAACUCUUUUUUAGAAUCUAUGAAGUGACAUUUCACAGCCCAUAGAGGCCUAUAGUUGUAAAACCAAAUAUUCUGCUAUAAAAACAGGAAACAAGCUAUCUGUCACAAAGUUAAACCUUUGUUUUAUUACAGCAAGUCGAAAACAAUCUUUUUGAAGAACAUUCAGAGGAAUAUUUUGAAGCCAAUUGAGGCCUGCAGUGGAAAACCAAAUAUCUUAUCAUAAAAACUUGAAAGAAGUUAUCUCUGAAAAUGCUUUGUGAUGUGUUCAUUCGUCUGACAGAGAUAAACCUUUAUUUUGAUUCAGCAGGUUGGAAACACUCUUUUUGUAGAAUCUGGGAAGGAACAUUUCUGAGCCCAUUGAGGCCUAUAGAGAAAAAUCUAAUAUCCUGUGAUAAAAUCUAGAAACAAAAUAUCUGUGAAAAUGUUUUAUGAUGUGGGAAUUCAUCUAUCAGAGAUAAAACUUUUUUUGAUUCAGCAGGUUGGAAAAACUCUUUGUAGAAUCUAUAAAGGGAUAUUUCAGAACCCAUUGAGGCCUACUGUGGAAAAUUGAAUAUUCUGCAAUAAAAUCUAGAAACAAGCUAUCUGUGUAAAUGCUUUGCCAUGUGUGGGUUCAUCUUACAGAGUUAAACCUUUGUUUUUAUUCAGCAGGUUGAAAACAUUCUUUUAAUAGAAUCUACAAAGGGACGUUUCAAAGUACAUUGAAGGUUAUACUGAAAAACCUAAUACCAGUGAUUAAAACUAGAAGCAAGCUAUCUGUGAAAAUGCUUUCUGAUAUAUGGAUUUGUUUCACAAACUUAAACCUUUGUUUUGAUUCAGCAGGUUGGCAACACUCUUUUUGUACAACCUAUGAAGGGACAUUUUGGAGCUCACUGAGGCCUAUAGUGAAAAAAUGAAUAUUUCAAAAUAAAAACUAGAAACAAGCAAUAUUUGAAAAUGGUUGGUGGUGUGUGGAUUCAUCUCACAGAGGUAAACCUUUAUAUUGAUUCAGCACACUGGAAACACUCUUUUUAAAGAAUCUACAAAGGAACAUUUUGGAACCCAUUGACAAGUAUAUUGAAAAAGUGAAUAUGCCACGAUACAUACUAGCAACAAUCUAUUAGUGAAAGUGCUUUGUGAUGUGCGGAUUCAUCUCACAAAGUUUAACCUUUAUUAUCAUUCGGUAGGUUGAGAACACUCUUUAUAUAGCAUAUACAAAAAAAAAGAUAUUUUUGUGAACAUUGAGGACUAAAGUAAAACACGAAAUAUUUCACAGUAAAAACUAAAAACUGUCUAUCUGUGAAAAUGCUUUGUGAAGUGUGGAUUUAUCUCACAGAGUUAAACCUUUGUUUUGAUUCAACAGGAUGAAAACACCUUUUUUGUAGAAUCUAUGAAGGGACAUUUCAGAGCCUAUUGUGGACUAUACUGAAAAACCUAAUAUCCCGGCAUAAAAACUAAAAAGAAGCUAUCUUUGCAAAUGAUUUGCGAUGUGUGGAUUCAUCUUACAGAGAUAAACCUUUUUGUAUCAGUUAAACCUUUUUUUUUAUUCCCUGCAAGUUGGAGUCCUCCCACCUGACCACAGGGCCAUGUUGUGGACAGCUUGUGCAAUGAAGGGAAUGCAAGGAUGGAGUUGGAAGCACUUCCUGUGUCAUCUGGCUGCACCUUUUUUUGCAGAUGAAGGUGCAGGACCCCAUCCACACCUCAGCAGACUGUAUGCUCACCCGUAUCUGACCUUAUUGCUGCUCACAAUCCUAGUUCUGGAAUGAAAUCCCAAGAUGUUGGAGGAGUGCUCCUUUCAUGACGUGAAGCACCUGCUUGGCUGCAAACCAAAUUCGAAUUGGAUUUAAGCGGCCUGUGGACAGGACUGCUAGGGUCCUGUCCUGGGUUGGCCACAGGACAAUGAGGCCCGGACAGGUGUCUUCUCCUGAGAGUGGUGUGCUCCUCUUCUUUCUAGAAGAGUGGCUCCUUUUUAUGAGGAGGUGAUUUGUACACCUGUGAGUCUCAACCAUCCCCCCCAACUCACCGUGGACUCAGGAAGCACAGAAAAACAAAGAACAUGCAGCCCCAUAGGCCAAGCAGAGCCACACAGACAGGUGCACCAGAAGGUGAAGGGACUCAAAAAAAAAAAAGCGCUGCAGUGCAUUAAACAUAUUCCUUUUAGCAGAUGUCCCCCCCCCCACACACAGACACACACAAACACACAUACAGCCACACACACACAUGCAGACAUUCAAACACUCACAACACUCCCACAGAAACACACAGACUGACAGCUCCUGAGGCUGCACGGUUCUGCAGAAAGCCCCUUCUGAGAGAGAGCAGCCCUGGAAAACAGAGGCGGGCUGUACUUAGAAAUCACAGGGAGGGAAGUUUCAAAAAGACUCACUCCCACACCGCCUAGGCAGGCCUGACCCAUCGUGGGUAUCCUUUUGGAUCCUUAGGGAUUUUGUGGUUUAUUCCUGGGGCUCCACUUGAUGUGUCUUCAGGCUGGCUCGCCACUGCCCACUCCUAGGAUUGUGGGAAUAUCCCAUAGAGCCCUCAAAGUAGACAGGUGAUAGUUCAAUGCCGACACACAGCCACAGAGGACUCCUUCUCCACCAAGAUGAAGGGACUUAUCACUAGGCAAUGGUGGCAUUCACUGUGAUGUGAGCCGCUGCUCACCACUGGUGCCUGGUGGCCUGACUGUCACAUGCGCAUUCACAAAGCAGGCUCAGGCACCUGGCUGUCAGGGCUGUAAGCCUGGCAAAGCUCAGGAAAAUGGUACAGCCAGAGCUGGCCUAGUUUCCAGAAAAAGGCUGCCUGCAGCAACCAACUGCUGCAUGCUAAUAGUCUCCAACAUAGGGCCUUCAUGAGCCAUCUCCGUGGUAGGGUCCCACAGGAGAAGGAGGAGUUUGAAGACUGUGAGGUGGGCUCUGGAGACUGCUCUUCUGACUCCAUUCCCAAAAGAGGCUGUGUGCAUGAAUUCGGUCUCCUGGGGAUGGGAAUAAAGUCUGGUGAGUUGUUAAGAGGUCUCUGGGUGAUGGAAUAAUAUCUGAGAUCCAAGAGGCAGGUGUCAGUGGAAGAUGGCCAGGCCCUUGAACCCCCUGCCUUUCUUCAUCCCGGGCCUCACAGGGGCUCCUGCUUCUCAGCAUGGCUCUCUGGUAAAGGCAGGAACCAUGACAAAGGCAAGUCCAAGGUGGAGCACUGUUCUCACACCUAAAACAGGCCUCUUGCAGGUGCACAUGAGGUUAAGAGAGUGUCUCAGAGGAUGUCUGGGGCAUUUUGAAACCUGAAAAUAACAUCCAGGAGUGCUGUUGAUGGGCACUGUGGACCCCCCAUGAAAGCAAAGAAAAGUCAAGGUUCUCCUGGGAGAAUGAGCAGACUUGUGCAGGAGUCCAAGCCAUGUUCAAGGUUUCCUGCCAGAGAACUUAAAAGCCUCCUGCAAAGUGUAAACAAUGCCAGCCACCAUUAUGAGACCACUACCCACAACUUGGUGUGUGGCCAGCCUACCCAAAAUACCUUUUGCUUUCUGAUAUACCUGGCAACCAAAAUAUCCACAAUGAGUCAGUCCCACCCACCAACAGCCCAAUGAAAUACCCCAUCCACAAUGAGAAAGGAAGUGCAGAUGACAUGAAACAGAGCCUAGAUUGCCAGGUAAAAGCCAGACACAGCUGCCUGUUUCUCAUCCUACAGGAGUCAUGCAGCUGUCCUUUAGAAGUGGGAGAACAAGUUAUCUUGAUGGUGGAUAUAAUCGAAAUUUAUGAUUCCAAAAGUAUCACAACUGCCCAGUAAUUAAAAUGUGACAGUGUUUAUAAGAAAACACUCAUGCGAUGGAUUCCCAUGAGAAUUAUCCUCCAUGAACUGGGAAACUUUUAGUGUGGAAGACUUUGAGCCAGACCCAGAAAAACCCCAGGUUCAUGAGGAACAUGGAAGUCAGACUGAGCCAGACCUAGGAAACUCUAGGCCCAUAAGGAACAUGGAAGUCAGGAAAAUAGGUUGCCAGUGUGGAGGCCACAUCCAACCCAGCAUCAGUCCAUCUCACUCCAAUGUGGCUCUGGGAAUGGAAGCUCAAUUCUGGAGCUGGCCAGAAGGGCCCCAUUUUGCAAUCCAACUUUUCCCUGCACGAUUGAGUCAUCCCACCUGGGCACCAGGCCAUGCUGUUGACUGUGCAAUGAACGGAAUGAGGGGAUGCAGUUGGAAGCAACUUCUGUGUCAUCUGUCUGAACCUUUUUUGCAGGUGAAGGUGCGAGAUCUCAUCCACACCUCAACAGACUGUAUCCUCACCCCUAUCUGACCUUAUUGUUGCUCACACUCUGUGUCCCACAAUAAAAUUCUGAGACAAUGGAGGAGUGCCUCCCUGAUGACCUGAAGCACCUGCUCAGCUACAAACAAAAAUCGAGGUAAAUUCAAGAAGCCCUGUGACUGGACUGCUGGGGUCUGGCCCUGGGUUGGCCACAGAACAAUAAAGCAUGGGGAGUUGUCUGUUUUGGGGUGUGGUGUGCUUCUCUUCUUUGUAGAAAUGUGGCUUUUUGGCAAGGGGAGGUGAUUUUGAACCUGGCAGUUGUCAGCCAUUCUUCCAAUUCACUGUGGAUUCAGGAGCCAUGGAAAAAUGAAGAACAUGGAGAACUUCAGCCCAAGCAGAACCACAGAGACAGGCCACCGGAAGAUGGGGUGACAAAAACAGUGCUGCAGUGUGUUAGCCACAUUUCUUUCAGCAGACUCCACUUACC